This is a non-coding RNA of Cerioporus squamosus, 96 nucleotides long. Lineage: Eukaryota; Fungi; Basidiomycota; Agaricomycetes; Polyporales; Polyporaceae. The record is from the annotation of a GenBank genome assembly.
GGGCGUUUGGCACAGUGGUAGCGCGCCUGCUUUGCAUGACGUAAUGCAAUUACGUAAGCUUGCAUGAGGCCGAGGGUUCAAACCCCUCAACGUCCA